Molecule: ribosomal RNA, 233 nt
Filed under: uncultured bacterium
Lineage: Bacteria
Description: partial 16S ribosomal RNA
Rfam family: Bacterial small subunit ribosomal RNA
Source: RNAcentral
AUUUCCCUACGGGGCGCAGCAGUGGGGAAUCUUGCACAAUGGGCGAAAGCCUGAUGCAGCAACGCCGCGUGAGAGAAGAAGGCCUUUGGGUCGUAAAGCUCUGUCCUAAGGGAAGAAGGAAGUGACGGUACCUUAGGAGGAAGCCCCGGCUAACUACGUGACAGCAGCCGCGGUAAUACGUAGGGGGCAAGCGUUAUCCGGAAUUGUUGAGCGUAAAGAGGACGUAGGCGGGU